GACCUCGUAGCUCAGUUGGCAGAGCUUCCGGCUUUUAACCGGAGAGUCGUGGGUUCGAGUCCCACCGGGGUCA
RNAcentral lists this transfer RNA (73 nucleotides) under Thermoproteota archaeon. Its description in RNAcentral is "Crenarchaeota archaeon tRNA-Lys". It matches the Rfam family "tRNA". Rfam says of the family: Transfer RNA (tRNA) molecules are approximately 80 nucleotides in length. Their secondary structure includes four short double-helical elements and three loops (D, anti-codon, and T loops). The record is from RNAcentral. Lineage: Archaea; Thermoproteati; Thermoproteota.